AGAGGGAUAGCUGGGUCAAAUGGUGAUGCCAUUCCAAGUUUUUCAAGAAAUCUCCAUACUGCUUUUCAGAUUGGCCGCACCAUUUUGCAGUCCCACUAGAAU
RNAcentral lists this microRNA precursor (102 nucleotides) under Marmota monax (woodchuck). The record is from RNAcentral. Lineage: Eukaryota; Metazoa; Chordata; Mammalia; Rodentia; Sciuridae.